AAGUCAUUCCUACCGGCCCUUCUAAAGGCCAGACAUUCUUUUUGCCACUUUGUAACAAUUGCUGUAUUGCUGAUGCUACUCAUUCCAAUUUCCAAGGUGACGCAGUCACACAAUCAUGCUCCAAAAUGUCUCGAUCGACAAGAAAGCGUAAAAAAGAGGUUGAACAAACCGGUUGUCCUGUAUGGUUGCGCCUCUAUCGCCCUCCACCGUGUCAC
RNAcentral lists this long non-coding RNA (215 nucleotides) under Oryza brachyantha (malo sina). RNAcentral's name for it is "long non-coding RNA (OBRA_LNC002621)". The record is from RNAcentral. Lineage: Eukaryota; Viridiplantae; Streptophyta; Magnoliopsida; Poales; Poaceae.